RNAcentral lists this long non-coding RNA (248 nucleotides) under Elaeis guineensis (African oil palm). Its description in RNAcentral is "long non-coding RNA (EGUI_LNC053966)". Lineage: Eukaryota; Viridiplantae; Streptophyta; Magnoliopsida; Arecales; Arecaceae. The record is from RNAcentral.
AGGAUAUAUUUCUAAAUAGUUCCAAUGCUGGCAUCUCCACCACCCAUGAUUUCCUUGCCUACUGCUUCGAUACCUCCUCAUGAGAUUCCAUCCUCUUCCACUCAGCUUCCUACUGCUGCAGGCUAAAGCAGUAUGCCUCCUUCCAAGAAAAUAGAUCUUAAUGCCCAUCUUGACUCCAUUCCUGAGGAUGCAACCUUUGAUAACUAGAGGGUUAUCAAAGAGUUAACCCAGAGAUCGGUGCUCCCCAU